ACGAACGCUGGCGGCGUGCUUCACCCCUGCAAGUCGAACGGAAAGGCCCCUUUGGGGGUACUCGAGUGGCGAACGGGUGAGUAACACGUGAGUAACCUGCCCUUGACUUCGGGAUAACUUCAGGAAACUGGGGCUAAUACCGGAUAGGAAUCCUUGCUGCAUGGUGGGGGUUGGAAAGCUUCGGCGGUUUUGGAUGGACUCGCGGCUUAUCAGCUUGUUGGUGGGGUAGUGGCUUACCAAGGCUUUGACGGGUAGCCGGCCUGAGAGGGCGACCGGCCACAUUGGGACUGAGAUACGGCCCAGACUCCUACGGGAGGCAGCAGUGGGGAAUAUUGCACAAUGGGUGGAAGCCUGAUGCAGCAACGCCGCGUGCGGGAUGACGGCCUUCGGGUUGUAAACCGCUUUCAGCAGGGGCGAAGCUUGUGGUGACGGUACCUGCAGAAGAAGCACCGGCUAACUACGUG
Molecule: ribosomal RNA, 464 nt
Filed under: uncultured bacterium
Lineage: Bacteria
Description: partial 16S ribosomal RNA
Rfam family: Bacterial small subunit ribosomal RNA
Source: RNAcentral